UGCUUGAAGUAGCAACCUUAUGUUGGCAGA
RNAcentral lists this non-coding RNA (30 nucleotides) under Mus musculus (house mouse). The record is from RNAcentral. Lineage: Eukaryota; Metazoa; Chordata; Mammalia; Rodentia; Muridae.